CCAGCCCGCUCAGAAACUCAAAGGAAGUUGACGGGGCCCGCACAAGCGGUGGACGCAUGUGGUUUAAUUCGAUGAUACGCGAGGAACUUACCUGGGCGCAAAUGUAUGUUGACGUAUUCUGAAAGGGAUACUUCUUCGGACAAUAUACAAGGUGCUGCAUGGUUGUCGUCAGCUCGUGCCGUGAGGUGUCGGGUUAAGUCCCAUAACGAGCGCAACCCUAUCAUUAGUUGCCAUCAGGUCAAGCUGGGGACUCUAAUGAAACUGCCUACGCAAGUAGUGAGGAAGGUGGGGAUGACGUCAAAUCAGCACGGCCCUUACGUCCAGGGCUACACACGUGCUACAAUGGCCGGUACAAAGGGCAGCUACCUGGUGACAGGAUGCUAAUCUCAAAAGCCGGUCUCAGUUCGGAUCGGAGUCUGCAACCCGACUCCGUGAAGCUGGAAUCGCUAGUAAUCGUGGAUCAGCAUGCCACGGUGAAUACGUUCCCGGGCCUU
RNAcentral lists this ribosomal RNA (494 nucleotides) under uncultured Sphingobacteriales bacterium. RNAcentral's name for it is "bacterial SSU rRNA". It matches the Rfam family "Bacterial small subunit ribosomal RNA", at positions 884 to 1382 of the family's 1533-position model. The record is from RNAcentral. Lineage: Bacteria; Pseudomonadati; Bacteroidota; Sphingobacteriia; Sphingobacteriales.